GAACGAACGCUGGCGGCGUGCUUAACACAUGCAAGUCGAACGCGAAAGCCCGCAAGGGUGAGUAGAGUGGCGCACGGGUGAGUAACACGUGAGUAAUCUGCCCUUGAGCGGGGGACAACGUUCCGAAAGGAGCGCUAAUACCGCAUGACCCGGUAGGGACCCAGGUCCCGGCCGGCAAAGGUGGCCUCUGCUUGCAAGCUAUCGCUCAAGGAGGAGCUUGCGCCCCAUUAGGUAGUUGGUGAGGUAACGGCCCACCAAGCCUACGAUGGGUAGCCGGCCUGAGAGGGUAACCGGCCACACUGGCACUGAGACACGGGCCAGACUCCUACGGGAGGCAGCAGUGAGGAAUUUUGGGCAAUGGGCGAAAGCCUGACCCAGCGACGCCGCGUGGGUGAUGAAGGCCUUCGGGUCGUAAAACCCUGUGAGUUGGGAAGAAGCCGUUGCGUGCUAAUACCACGUCGCGGUGACAGUACCAACAGAGGAAGCCCCGGCUAACUACGUGCCAGCAGCCGCGGUAAAACGUAGGGGGCUAGCGUUGUUCGGAAUUACUGGGCGUAAAGCGCGUGUAGGCGGCUUGGCAAGUCGGAAGUGAAAGCCCCAGGCUCAACUUGGGAAUUGCUUUCGAAACUGCCAGGCUUGAGUGCGGGAGGGAAGAGCGGAAUUCCAGGUGUAGCGGUGAAAUGCGUAGAUAUCUGGAGGAACACCGGUGGCGAAGGCGGCUCUCUGGACCGUAACUGACGCUGAGACGCGAAAGCGUGGGGAGCAAACAGGAUUAGAUACCCUGGUAGUCCACGCCCUAAACGAUGGAUACUUGGCGUGGGAAGUUCAAAUCUUUCCGUGCCGGAGCUAACGCAUUAAGUAUCCCGCCUGGGGAGUACGGUCGCAAGGCUGA
This 892-nucleotide ribosomal RNA is filed under the name uncultured bacterium. Its description in RNAcentral is "bacterial SSU rRNA". It matches the Rfam family "Bacterial small subunit ribosomal RNA", at positions 27 to 897 of the family's 1533-position model. The record is from RNAcentral.